This 516-nucleotide ribosomal RNA is filed under the name uncultured bacterium. Its description in RNAcentral is "bacterial SSU rRNA". It matches the Rfam family "Bacterial small subunit ribosomal RNA", at positions 19 to 518 of the family's 1533-position model. The record is from RNAcentral.
CUGGUUCAGGAUGAACGCUGGCGGCGUGCUUAACACAUGCAAGUCGAACGAAGCACCUCUAAUCGAAGAUUGAGAAGCUUGCUUUGAUUGAUUCACCUGAGGUGACUGAGUGGCGGACGGGUGAGUAACGCGUGGGUAACCUACCCUAUACAGGGGGAUAACAGUUGGAAACGACUGCUAAUACCGCAUAAGCGCACAGGACCGCAUGGUCUAGUGUGAAAAAACUCCGGUGGUAUAGGAUGGACCCGCGUCUGAUUAGCUAGUUGGUGAGGUAACGGCUCACCAAGGCGACGAUCAGUAGCCGACCUGAGAGGGUGACCGGCCACAUUGGGACUGAGACACGGCCCAAACUCCUACGGGAGGCAGCAGUGGGGAAUAUUGCACAAUGGGCGAAAGCCUGAUGCAGCGACGCCGCGUGAACGAAGAAGUAUUUCGGUAUGUAAAGUUCUAUCAGCAGGGAAGAAAAAUGACGGUACCUGACUAAGAAGCUCCGGCUAAAUACGUGCCAGCCGCUGC